GGAGAUUGAAUAGAAAGGUAUCUGAAUUGAGAUUGUUGGGGUUUUGUUCUGUACCGGAAAAGUUGAAGUUUUAUCUGUUACCAAGUCGGCUGUUAUUGGGGAUUUGUUAUUUCAUUGUCUGAUCGUGAUGAGGAGGAGCAAGGGAGAAAGAAUUAGUCACUAUAUAGAAUUCUGUAGUUUGGUUCCAGAGUACCAGUAGCUGAUUCAAUUCUGAUUUCUGUUGCUAUCUCAAUUGGGGUCACUGAUUUAGUUAGUUGUUGAGACGAGUAAAAUGCUGGAGACUCAGUUAUGUCCUACUCGGGUGUUAUCACCUUUCCGCGAAGAGAGUGGAGAUGAGGAGUUGUCUGUACUUCCGAGGCAUACCAAAGUUAUUGUGACUGGAAACAACAGAACCAAGAGUGUUUUGCUGGGGCUUCAGGGAGUUGUCAAGAAGGCUGUUGGGCUUGGC
This 448-nucleotide unclassified non-coding RNA is filed under the name Hevea brasiliensis (rubber tree). The record is from RNAcentral. Lineage: Eukaryota; Viridiplantae; Streptophyta; Magnoliopsida; Malpighiales; Euphorbiaceae.